AAAUGAAUAGACGGGGGCCCGCACAAGCAGCGGAGCAUGUGGUUUAAUUCGAAGCAACGCGAAGAACCUUACCAGGUCUUGACAUCCCCUGACAACCCUAGAGAUAGGGCCUUCCCUUCGGGGACAGGGAGACAGGUGGUGCAUGGUUGUCGUCAGCUCGUGUCGUGAGAUGUUGGGUUAAGUCCCGCAACGAGCGCAACCCUCGUAUUUAGUUGCCAUCAGGUAAAGCUGGGCACUCUAGAUAGACUGCCGUAGACAAUACGGAGGAAGGUGGGGAUGACGUCAAAUCAUCAUGCCCCUUAUGACCUGGGCUACACACGUGCUACAAUGGUCUGAACAAAGGGUAGCGAAAUAGCGAUAUGGAGCCAAUCCCAUAAAACAGAUCUCAGUUCGGAUUGUAGGCUGCAACUCGCCUACAUGAAGACGGAGUUGCUAGUAAUCGCGGAUCAGAAUGCCGCGGUGAAUGCGUUCCCGGGCCUUGUACACACCGCCCGU
Molecule: ribosomal RNA, 495 nt
Filed under: uncultured bacterium
Lineage: Bacteria
Description: bacterial SSU rRNA
Rfam family: Bacterial small subunit ribosomal RNA
Source: RNAcentral